Molecule: ribosomal RNA, 431 nt
Filed under: uncultured bacterium
Lineage: Bacteria
Description: partial 16S ribosomal RNA
Rfam family: Bacterial small subunit ribosomal RNA
Source: RNAcentral
AACGAACGCUGGCGGCAGGCUUAACACAUGCAAGUCGAGCGCCUCGCAAGAGGAGCGGCAGGCGGGUGAGUAACGCGUGGGGACGUACCCUUAUCUUCGGAAUAGCUCUGGGAAACUGGAAGUAAUACCGAACGUGCCCUUAGGGGGAAAGAUUUAUCGGAUAAAGAUCGGCCCGCGUUGGAUUAGCUAGUUGGUGGGGUAAAGGCCUACCAACGCGACGAUCCAUAGCUGGUCUGAGAGGAUGAUCAGCCACAUUGGGGCUGGGACACGGCCCCAACUCCUACGGGAGGCAGCAGUGGGGAAUAUUGGACAAUGGGCGCAAGCCUGAUCCAGCCAUGCCGGGUGAGUGAUGAAGGCCUUAGGGUUGUAAAGCUCUUUCACCGGAGAAGAUAAUGACGGUAGCCGGAGAAGAAGCCCCGGCUAACUUCGUG